AGAUUCCAUUCCUGAAGAUUGCUCUAAUUGCUUUCAGCAACUUAUCAACCGUGAAUCCUUUUGGAUUUUAGGGGUUAAAACGUUAAAUCCUGAGGGACUGAAUAAGAGGACUGAGAGAACUUUUAGUAUAAACUGGCAUUGUAUUUGAUGUUGCACGCCUGAUGAAAAGGCCAUCCCCACCAACUUCCAGGAUGUUCAAGCGGAUCAUGUGCCUUUUUGGGAGUACCUAUCUGUGUGAAAAGCUCUUCUUCACCAUGAACUUUAAUAAGUCAUAGUUCAGGGCCCAACUUACUGAUGAGUUCUUCAAGCCAUAUUGAGGGUCUCAGUUGCUUCCUCACUCAAGUUAAAUGUUGCUGAGAUGUGUAGGAGGAAGCACUGCCAGGUCUCUGGCAACAAGAAGUAGGCGCUUGGUCUGUCCAUUGUAGAAGAUAGAAGGCUUGUUGGAAAACACGGUGGGUGAGGAAGGAUUAAAGCGCUGUCCCGGAUCCAAGGUUUUAUCCUUAAGACAGCAAGCAAAUCCCAAGUUACAAUAUUAAAGUGUCAAGAAGAUACACAGCCGG
This is a long non-coding RNA of Hyla sarda, 560 nucleotides long. RefSeq lists it as uncharacterized. NCBI's taxonomy places the organism in Eukaryota, Metazoa, Chordata, Amphibia, Anura, Hylidae. The record is from RefSeq and is a predicted model, not a curated record. The transcript has 4 exons.